GUCACUUUGGCGGAGUGGUUAACGCGCUGCCCUGCUAAUGAACAGUUAGCAUGUUAGGCAGUUCCUUCGGGAGCGUAGGUUCGAAUCCUACAGGUGACG
RNAcentral lists this transfer RNA (99 nucleotides) under Bombardia bombarda. It matches the Rfam family "tRNA". Rfam says of the family: Transfer RNA (tRNA) molecules are approximately 80 nucleotides in length. The record is from Rfam by way of RNAcentral. Lineage: Eukaryota; Fungi; Ascomycota; Sordariomycetes; Sordariales; Lasiosphaeriaceae.